Molecule: transfer RNA, 66 nt
Filed under: Stegodyphus mimosarum
Lineage: Eukaryota; Metazoa; Arthropoda; Arachnida; Araneae; Eresidae
Rfam family: tRNA
About the family: Transfer RNA (tRNA) molecules are approximately 80 nucleotides in length. Their secondary structure includes four short double-helical elements and three loops (D, anti-codon, and T loops).
Source: Rfam by way of RNAcentral
GCCUUCAUGGUGUAGUGGUCAACACACUGGGCUCGUAUUCCAGUGGUCCGUUUCCCGGGGAAGGCG